RNAcentral lists this ribosomal RNA (476 nucleotides) under uncultured bacterium. RNAcentral describes it as "bacterial SSU rRNA". It matches the Rfam family "Bacterial small subunit ribosomal RNA", at positions 26 to 518 of the family's 1533-position model. The record is from RNAcentral.
AGGACGAACGCUGGCGGCGUGGCUUCAUACAUGCAAGUCGAACGAGAAGCAGUCUUCGGACUGUGGAAAGUGGCGGACGGGUGAGUAAUAUGUAGAGAAUCUGCCCUUGAGAGGGGGACGAACAGUUGGAAACGACUGCUAAUACCCAUAUGAGCGUAGCUGAAAUGCUAUUCUUGAAAACUCCGGUGCUCAAGGAUGAGUCUGCAUCUGAUUAGCUAGUUGGUGGUGUAAUGGACUACCAAGGCGACGAUCAGUAGCUGGUUUGAGAGGAUGAUCAGCCACAAUGGGACUGAGACACGGCCCAUACUCCUACGGGAGGCAGCAGUAGGGAAUUUUGCGCAAUGGGGGGAAAAACCCCUGACGCAGCAACGCCGCGUGAACGAGAAGCCCUUCGGGGUGUAAAGUUUUGUCAGUGGGGACGAACAAAUGACGGUACCCACAGAGGAAGCACCGGCUAACUCCGUGCCAGCCGCCGC